RNAcentral lists this ribosomal RNA (253 nucleotides) under uncultured bacterium. RNAcentral's name for it is "partial 16S ribosomal RNA". It matches the Rfam family "Bacterial small subunit ribosomal RNA", at positions 524 to 776 of the family's 1533-position model. The record is from RNAcentral.
UACGUAGGGUGCGAGCGUUAAUCGGAAUUACUGGGCGUAAAGCGUGCGCAGGCGGUUCGUUGUGUCGGCGGUGAAAGCCCCGGGCUCAACCUGGGAAUGGCCGUUGAAACUGGCGAACUGGAGUGUGGCAGAGGGGGGUGGAAUUCCGCGUGUAGCAGUAAAAUGCGUAGAGAUGCGGAGGAACACCGAUGGCGAAGGCAGCCCCCUGGGCUGACACUGACGCUCAGGCACGAAAGCGUGGGGAGCAAACAGG